CUGUGGGCGAGCAACGGCCUCCGGAGCCGUGUGCGCAGGUUCGAAUCCUGCCAG
RNAcentral lists this transfer RNA (54 nucleotides) under Streptomyces sp. CB03234. Lineage: Bacteria; Bacillati; Actinomycetota; Actinomycetes; Kitasatosporales; Streptomycetaceae. The record is from Rfam by way of RNAcentral.